RNAcentral lists this small RNA (95 nucleotides) under Chrysemys picta bellii (western painted turtle). Its description in RNAcentral is "TUC338 (ENSCPBG00000000857.1)". The record is from RNAcentral. Lineage: Eukaryota; Metazoa; Chordata; Testudines; Emydidae.
GCCAUGGAACAGACACACCAUGGGCAGCAGCAGUGCAAGUUUCCCACAUCACUAGGCCAACACCUAUCAGUCCUGUUUAAGAAGGAAUACUUAGC